CCCCCACCUAUGUAUGUAGGAUCCUAAAGGAUCACCAUUAAAUUUGAUAUGGAUCUUUAAAAAAGUUAUAACAUGGGUGUGAGACUUGAUUUUUUUAGAGAUCCGUGUCAAAUUUAAUGGUGAUCUUUUGGGAUCCUACAUACAUAGGUGGGAG
RNAcentral lists this microRNA precursor (154 nucleotides) under Amborella trichopoda. RNAcentral describes it as "MIR8565 microRNA precursor family". It matches the Rfam family "MIR8565 microRNA precursor family". Lineage: Eukaryota; Viridiplantae; Streptophyta; Magnoliopsida; Amborellales; Amborellaceae. The record is from Rfam by way of RNAcentral.